RNAcentral lists this ribosomal RNA (120 nucleotides) under Heterocephalus glaber (naked mole-rat). The record is from RNAcentral. Lineage: Eukaryota; Metazoa; Chordata; Mammalia; Rodentia; Bathyergidae.
AUCCAUGGCCACACCACCCUGAACACUCCCAGUCUCGUCUGAUCUCAGAAGCUAAGCAGGGUCGGGCCUGGUUAGUAUUUGGAUGGGAGAGCAAAUGAUCAAGUUUGAUGGCCCUGUAAU